UCUCUUGUGGCUUAGCUGGUAAAGAAUCCACCUGCAAUGUGGGAGACCUGGGUUCGAUCCCUGGGUUGAGAA
Molecule: transfer RNA, 72 nt
Filed under: Bos taurus (domestic cattle)
Lineage: Eukaryota; Metazoa; Chordata; Mammalia; Artiodactyla; Bovidae
Rfam family: tRNA
About the family: Transfer RNA (tRNA) molecules are approximately 80 nucleotides in length. Their secondary structure includes four short double-helical elements and three loops (D, anti-codon, and T loops).
Source: Rfam by way of RNAcentral